UACAUUAGAUACCCCUGUAGUCCCAGCCGUAAACUAUGCUCGCUAGGUGUCAGGCAUGGCGCGACCGUGUCUGGUGCCGCAGGGAAGCCGUGAAGCGAGCCACCUGGGAAGUACGGCCGCAAGGCUGAACUUAAAGGAAUUGGCGGGGGAGCACCACAACGGGUGGAGCCUGCGGUUUAAUUGGACUCAACGCCGGGAAGCUCACCGGAUAAGACAGCGGAAUGAUUGCCGGGCUGAAGACUCUGCAUGACUAGCUG
RNAcentral lists this ribosomal RNA (257 nucleotides) under uncultured archaeon. Its description in RNAcentral is "partial 16S ribosomal RNA". It matches the Rfam family "Archaeal small subunit ribosomal RNA", at positions 724 to 982 of the family's 1478-position model. The record is from RNAcentral.